This 481-nucleotide ribosomal RNA is filed under the name Listeria monocytogenes. RNAcentral's name for it is "partial 23S ribosomal RNA". It matches the Rfam family "Bacterial large subunit ribosomal RNA", at positions 716 to 1195 of the family's 2925-position model. Lineage: Bacteria; Bacillati; Bacillota; Bacilli; Caryophanales; Listeriaceae. The record is from RNAcentral. RNAcentral also lists the same sequence under 2 other names.
CGAAACCAGGUGAUCUACCCAUGUCCAGGAUGAAGGUAAGGUAAUACUUACUGGAGGUCCGAACCCACGCACGUUGAAAAGUGCGGGGAUGAGGUGUGGGUAGCGGAGAAAUUCCAAUCGAACUUGGAGAUAGCUGGUUCUCUCCGAAAUAGCUUUAGGGCUAGCCUCGAGGUAAAGAGUCAUGGAGGUAGAGCACUGUUUGGACUAGGGGCCCUUCUCGGGUUACCGAAUUCAGAUAAACUCCGAAUGCCAUGUACUUAUACUCGGGAGUCAGACUGCGAGUGAUAAGAUCCGUAGUCGAAAGGGAAACAGCCCAGACCACCAGUUAAGGUCCCCAAAUAUAUGUUAAGUGGAAAAGGAUGUGGGGUUGCUUAGACAACCAGGAUGUUGGCUUAGAAGCAGCCACCAUUGAAAGAGUGCGUAAUAGCUCACUGGUCGAGUGACCCCGCGCCGAAAAUGUACCGGGGCUAAACAUAUUACC